This 5977-nucleotide long non-coding RNA is filed under the name Lactuca sativa (garden lettuce). Its description in RNAcentral is "long non-coding RNA (LSAT_LNC004624)". Lineage: Eukaryota; Viridiplantae; Streptophyta; Magnoliopsida; Asterales; Asteraceae. The record is from RNAcentral.
AAAAUUACGAUCACAUUAAGAAAAAACUUGUUGCUGUAACUAAAGACUUGACGCUUUGAAAAUUAAGUGUGGAAAAACAGAUGUUAGUUUCAAAAAUUAUACCGUAUCAAGUAAGACAGUCAAGUCCUUAUUUGAAAACCAAUUAAAAUUCAAAGAUAAUCAAAACAAGGGUCUAGGGUAUGAUAGUGUUCCUCCACCUGUCAAUCAUAACUAUAUAUCCAUCCCUAUGACACAGGAAGAAAUUUGUGACAACCCGAAAUUUCAAUCUUGUACGAUUAAUCAAUUCAAUCAAUAUUCAACUUGUUUUGUCGAUUUCUAUUGCUAUUCAAGGGGUCAUUUAAGUGUUCUAAGCUUGUAUAAAUACCCAAGGUUGAGUUUAGGAAUGAGUCGGAGUGUUGAAUAGCGAGAAAAUUAGGCCAUACACACCUCUUGGAGGAGUGUACGGCCAUACACAUGGGUGUGCGGCGGCACACCCACUCCCUUGGCAGCACACUCACUUUUGGGCAGCACCUUUACCCCUAUAUAAAGGGUAUCCCCUUCCUUUCAUUCCUUUAGCACCUUGGCAGCACACAACAUCAUUUCCUCUUAAGUUUCUCUAACUUUGAACCUUCCAAAGCUUCAAAAAUGUGAGUAAUCCAUCCAUUAACUUGUUGUGCAUGAAGAACCUCUUGAUCUAGGCCUUGAAUCAUGAAAGUCCCAUCAUGUUCUUCAUCUCGUUGAAUGAGUGCGGCCACACACUCAUGUGUGCGGCCACACACUCCUGUGUGCAGCCACACACUCCUAUGUGCGGCAGCAUACACAUUUGUGCGACCAUACACACACACACCAUAGGACCACAAACCCAUUUCUAAGAUCCUAAACUUGUACUACAACCAAGUAUGGGCCUAGGACACUUCAUGGAUGCAAGUAUGGACCUUGAAAACACCUCAAAGGCACCUUCCAUCAUGAGUGUACGCCCGCACACCCUUUGGGCCGUACACCCAUGGCCAUACACACCUUUAAAGUGGCCAUACACCUCACUCAUGCAAUCCUUUGAGGUCCUAACACUUAAUUCAAGUAGUCCCAAGUUCUUAUAAUGGUUCUUCGUCACAUCUAGUGGUGAAAUACCAUCAUUUGACUCCUUUAUGUGUCAUUACUUGUUGAUUAUGAUCAAAUCAUCAUGUUAGUGGGAGCAUGAUAAUUAUUAUUAGACAACAAUGUUAAUUAUAGAAAAACAAAAGUUUCAAUUCGUGAAGUUGCAGGGGUUGAAAAGUUGGUUUGCUAUAAUUAAGGGAGGGGAAAUUAUACUUCAUCUCAAAUCUAUAAGCUUAGAUCAUGAGAUUUUAAUCAUAUUUAGUCAAGUAUAUAUAUGAAUGUUAUGUUGGAAUGGCUCAACAUAAGGAAAUUCUAUAUAUGGGUACAUAUUUGCGUUCUAAAAUUCGAUUAUGAUUACGGCAUCCGUUUUCAUAAUCUGAAUUAUGAGAACUUGGCAAAUAGAAAUAUUGUAGCAAAAGCAUUGGUCUAGUAUCAUGUCUUUAUGUGAGAUAUCAUGAAUCGAUUCCCAUAUGCCUCAGAUAUAGGAUCGAUUGCAUGUGCUACAAUAUUCAUCCUUUCUAAUUUUUUCCAAAUGCCUGGGGCAUUAAGAGGGGAAAAGUCUAGAACUGGAUAUGACUAAAAUGAUUAAGCAAUUGUUGAGUACAAUCUAAGGUUUACCAAAGAUUGGUUGCUCAAGUACAAUUGGAAGUAUGGUGUUAAUUUUGGAAGGAACAUAUUGACAUAUUCUGAAGAGAGGUAACUCUUGUUCAGAAGUGAUAGUUAAAAUGGGAAUAUGGAGUUGUUCCUAUUGGUGGAAGUUAUUCAUUAAAUUUGUGUAAGAUUAGGAAACUUAAUGCAAGAAAAAUGUUCAAAGGCAAUGAACUUUGAAUAUGAGACUUCGGUUCCAUGGAGUUGGUCUCCAUUGGAAUACUCUGUAAUGUAUGUUGAAAAGUCUUUGUGACUUUGUGCAUAAUCACUACAAGAGGACCAAUGCAUAUAAGUUUAGAAUCUAACAGAUUUAGGUAAAUGGCAGGAAUCUGGAAUUCUUACAUUUGCGGUAAGGAAUUGAGAUUGGGAAAUGAGAAUCAUUGGAAUUAUGUUCAAUCGAUCUAUUUCACAAAGUAAAGAUCAUACACAAACAUAGUGUGCAUACUUGGAGUAUGGCAUGACUAGUGUUUAGAAAAACAUAGUGUACAUACUUGGAGCAUGGGACAACUAUUGUUUUAAUUCAAGUAUAAAGUUCAUAGUUGGAAACAGUAUGCAAUGAAUGAUGAGUAAUCAAUAUGGUGAUAAAUAAAAGGUGUUUUUAUUUAUAUUCAAAAGUUCUGAGACCAUAUUGGAUUCAAUUAUUCUUGUGUUUCACUUUGCAUGUUUUGACUUCCAGAAUAACUAGGUCGUUCAUCCUAAAUGACUAAGUUAUUCAAACUAUCCACAGUCGGUCAUAUUUUGGAAGUAGAUAUGAAUCAAGAUUGUCAUGGGUUGGCUUGUAGAGGUCUAAGAUGUUGGAGAAAGUGGUGCUACAACACUCAUGAGUGUUCAUAAGUUCUGAGUAAUGGAUUCAACCCACGCUAAUUUGUUGGGUCAAUUAGAAAAGAAAGUUAUAAACCAAGGGGGAGAUUGUUGGGUCAAAAAUAUGGUUUAUACUUUUCUUUUCUAAGCAUUUAUUGUUUUUAUUAUUUUGGGCCGAAAAUAGUAUUUGAUUAUUUGUAUUUUGGGCUUGGCCUUAGGUCCAUAUAUAUAGGGUGAGGAGUGCAUGUGAGGGUAAUAGCCAAGGAGCUUAAGUGUGUGCAUUCUAAGGUGUGAGAGAAACUAUAGAGAGAAGAGUGUGUGUGAACUAUGUAUAUGGAGCUUCACUCAUUUCACUGAAUACAUCAUAGUUUCAUCUUCUUCUUCUUCUUCGNCAAGAUCUAAUCAAGAAUAAAAAAUUGUAGUUUAACACUAGCACACGACGUGAGCUUUAUAACAUAUCGUGUUGACAUAUUCCUACUUCUAUGCCCAUUCCAGUUAAAGUUGGCUUUGCAUAUGAGUUCUUAGAGUUCUCAAUUGGUUGCAUAACAACUUAGAAGCAAUGGCAAGCCCUUGAGCUGCCAGGUGGCAAGAAGUUAAGAUUACACAAGUUCAAUCCAUAAGAGUUUGGAUUUGUCAAUAACAUUGUCUUAUGAUUAUGGUUUUGACAAAUUCACAUGGAUAGGAACACAUACACCAUAAAAUCUAAGUUCAUAAGUUUUCUCUCUGAUUCAUGAAAAUGAUGGUGAGGAAACACUUUCACUAAUUAGAUUUUAACUAGAUAGCAAUUGUGAUAUUUUCAUUCUCAAAGUCGUUAGUGGAACAUGUGUUGUUAACCAACACACUAACAAGGACUUGUGAGAAAUUACAAAGGUCUAAACAAUUGAGAGACACAUGUGUGCUAUGUAAGGAAAGGUGUAUGAUUUUGGUGGAAGUUAUUCAUUAAAUUUGUGUAAGAUUAGGAAACUUAAUGCAAGAAAAAUGUUCAAAGGCAAUGAACUUUGAAUAUGAGACUUCGGUUCCAUGGAGUUGGUCUCCAUUGGAAUACUCUGUAAUGUAUGUUGAAAAGUCUUUGUGACUUUGUGCAUAAUCACUACAAGAGGACCAAUGCAUAUAAGUUUAGAAUCUAACAGAUUUAGGUAAAUGGCAGGAAUCUGGAAUUCUUACAUUUGCGGUAAGGAAUUGAGAUUGGGAAAUGAGAAUCAUUGGAAUUAUGUUCAAUCGAUCUAUUUCACAAAGUAAAGAUCAUACACAAACAUAGUGUGCAUACUUGGAGUAUGGCAUGACUAGUGUUUAGAAAAACAUAGUGUACAUACUUGGAGCAUGGGACAACUAUUGUUUUAAUUCAAGUAUAAAGUUCAUAGUUGGAAACAGUAUGCAAUGAAUGAUGAGUAAUCAAUAUGGUGAUAAAUAAAAGGUGUUUUUAUUUAUAUUCAAAAGUUCUGAGACCAUAUUGGAUUCAAUUAUUCUUGUGUUUCACUUUGCAUGUUUUGACUUCCAGAAUAACUAGGUCGUUCAUCCUAAAUGACUAAGUUAUUCAAACUAUCCACAGUCGGUCAUAUUUUGGAAGUAGAUAUGAAUCAAGAUUGUCAUGGGUUGGCUUGUAGAGGUCUAAGAUGUUGGAGAAAGUGGUGCUACAACACUCAUGAGUGUUCAUAAGUUCUGAGUAAUGGAUUCAACCCACGCUAAUUUGUUGGGUCAAUUAGAAAAGAAAGCUAUAAACCAAGGGGGAGAUUGUUGGGUCAAAAAUAUGGUUUAUACUUUUCUUUUCUAAGCAUUUAUUGUUUUUAUUAUUUUGGGCCGAAAAUAGUAUUUGAUUAUUUGUAUUUUGGGCUUGGCCUUAGGUCCAUAUAUAUAGGGUGAGGAGUGCAUGUGAGGGUAAUAGCCAAGGAGCUUAAGUGUGUGCAUUCUAAGGUGUGAGAGAAACUAUAGAGAGAAGAGUGUGUGUGAACUAUGUAUAUGGAGCUUCACUCAUUUCAUUGAAUACAUCAUAGUUUCAUCUUCUUCUUCUUCUUCUCCUUAUCUUCUAUUUUGAUAUGAUAUCAUCCAAUAGAUUGGGAUUCCGCACCAUCAAUUGGAUCUGAUUGAUACAAAAGCAGAUUUGGGGACUUACAAGUGGUAUCAGAGCUUGGUUGUAUCAAUCAAUUUUUUUUAGAUCUAGAGCUUAUUUGAUCUUAUUUUGAAGAGAUUUUUGCGGUUUUGGAUAGAUCUUGGCAAAAUAAGGGGGUUUGUUCUUUGCGUUUUUCAUAAAAACGAGUUUUGGAGUAAAAAGGAGCAAAAAAACGUUGUUUUUCGUCGUAACCAGCGAUUUUCGAGGUUCUCGAUCACGUUUUCAGUCGGAGUUCUUGGCCGGAGUUUUCGGUCCGAAGUCAUGUGUUCGGUCCGAGGUUUGCACGUGUUCGGUCCGGGUUUGCGGUUUGCAGCUUCGCGUGUUCGAUCUCGAUCAACAACAAUAGAAGUCCUCGCAUCGCAGCUUCUUAUUAAAAAAAAGGGGGGACGGAUUUGGGGGUGCCGGGGAUCAAACCCAGGACCUCUAGUUGAUCAAGUUUGCGCCUUACCAACUCGACUAGCAGAUCCUUUGUGUCCUUCCUUCGAAAUUUAAAACAUAAGCUGUCCUUCUCGGUUUCAACUUUCGAAAAUCAGCACUUUUAACCCCAAAAAAUCAAUUUCUUUUAUUUUAAAAUUCCAUUUUCAACCCAAAAUUUUAGUUUUUAAUUUUUGAUUUUAUUUUUAUCUUUUGAACUUAAAAUUUUAACUUUGACUUUCAAGUUUGACCUUUGACUUUAAACUUUGACUUUUUCGUUUACCUUUUAAAUUUUCAAAUUUAGCCUUUCGGUUUGACUUUUGAGUUUGACUUUUUAAAUUUGACUUUUAAGGUUGACUUUUAAGUUUUUAGUCAAAGGGCAUAUUUAAAAAAAAAAUGAGUUCCUCAUCCAUUCCGGUAAAUGAAGUUUCAUGUACUCCAUCUUGUGAAGCUACGAUUAAAUUUCUCCGAGAUCAAAUCGAUCUAUUAAAAAGAGAAAAUGAGGACCUCAAAUACGAAGGCUAUACUCUUAGCAAAGGUCAGAAACCACUAAAGCUCAAUUAGAGGCUAAGACUAAGGACUUUAGGAAACUACAAGAAGAUUACAACAACAAGUGUGAAAAUUACGAUCACAUUAAGAAAAAACUUGUUGCUGUAACUAAAGACUUGACGCUUUGAAAAUUAAGUGUGGAAAAACAGAUGUUAGUUUCAAAAAUUAUACCGUAUCAAGUAAGACAGUCAAGUCCUUAUUUGAAAACCAAUUAAAAUUCAAAGAUAAUCAAAACAAGGGUCUAGGGUAUGAUAGUGUUCCUCCACCUGUCAAUCAUAACUAUAUAUCCAUCCCUAUGACACAGGAAGAAAUUUGUGACAACCCGAAAUUUCAAUCUUGUACGAUUAAUCAAUUCAAUCAAUAUUCAACUUGUUUUGUCGAUUU